Molecule: long non-coding RNA, 766 nt
Organism: Beta vulgaris subsp. vulgaris (sugar beet)
Lineage: Eukaryota; Viridiplantae; Streptophyta; Magnoliopsida; Caryophyllales; Amaranthaceae
Exons: 2
Source: RefSeq, a predicted model, not a curated record
AAUUACCCCAUCAAUUUCAACUUGUAACCCCUUUUUUAUUUCCCUUGGCUGCUGAACCGAUCAGGAAAAAAAAAAGGUGCUUCACAACUCUUCUUCUCUCUUUUGCAUUUUUCGUCCAUUUAUGCACACCCAUUUCGUUUGCAUCGUAUCUCCUUCAUUUCUCAUCGGAAUUGGACGUGUGAGUAGUCAAAAUCUAUCUACUCGGAAAGAUCUUGCUCGUGGUGUAAUUUGUUUUUGAAUAGAGGGAAAGACGAGACUGCAGUUUCUGUUUCAAUCAGACGGGUCACCCGGUUUUGUUUCCCUGUCGUACCUUCACGAAUUUGAUCAUCGCGGAAGAUCGAACCGUUUGAUCGCCCUGAAAUUUGGACAGCAUGUUUAGGACAUAUGGGCCUUCAUUAUGAGCGGAGAGAUUUGGAAUCAGAGCUACAAAUUGUCAGGAAUCAAGAUCGGAGCAGAGCAGUACAUAAUGAAAAUGCAAGCAAUUGGAGGUCUUCAAAGGAUAUAUGUUGAUGACGAUCUUAUUUGGUUUUGGGCUCGGGUUGAGAUGUGAGCAUUAAAAUGUUAGAUGUUUUAGGCCUAGACUCUUUUAUUAAUUUAAGAGUUAGUUUUCUCUUUUGGUUAUCAAUUUAAUUUAUUUAUACUAUUUAUUUAUGUUUGUUUUUUUUCACUUAGAUAUUUAAACACAUUUCUUGUAGUAGUGACCUUCCCAGAAGACGAUGUUUCCGCCAUCGUCCUAUACUUCUAUUAUUAUUAUUUCUUUCUCUUA